Molecule: microRNA precursor, 84 nt
Filed under: Bombyx mori (domestic silkworm)
Lineage: Eukaryota; Metazoa; Arthropoda; Insecta; Lepidoptera; Bombycidae
Description: mir-2807 microRNA precursor family
Rfam family: mir-2807 microRNA precursor family
Source: Rfam by way of RNAcentral
UUAACUCAAAUUUGUAUGCAGUUGGAACAGCGCCCCUAGCGGCAAACAUAGGCAAACGUUCCAACUCCAUACAAAUUUGAGUUA